Molecule: small nuclear RNA, 338 nt
Filed under: Myotis davidii
Lineage: Eukaryota; Metazoa; Chordata; Mammalia; Chiroptera; Vespertilionidae
Description: 7SK RNA
Rfam family: 7SK RNA
About the family: 7SK was discovered as an abundant small nuclear RNA in the mid-70s but a possible function has only recently been suggested. Two independent studies have found that 7SK RNA binds the CDK9/cyclin T complex (known as elongation factor P-TEFb). P-TEFb activates transcription by phosphorylating the C-terminal domain of RNA polymerase II.
Source: Rfam by way of RNAcentral
GGAUGUAAGGGCGAUCUGGCUGCGACAUCUGUCACCCCAUUGAUCGCCAAGGUUGAUUCGGCUGAUCUGGCUGGCUAGGCGGGUGUCCCCCUCCUCCCUCAUCGAUCCGUGUGCGUCCCUCCCAAAGCUGCGCGCUCGGUCGAAGAGGACCACCUCUCCCCCCCACCCCCCCACCCCGAGGAGAGGACCGGUCUUCGGUCAAGGGUAUACGAGUAGCUGCGCUCCCCUGCUAGAACCUCCAAACAAGCUCUCAAGAAAAGAUAUACAAGAUAUUGUUAAGGAAAAAUGCAAGAUACAGAACAGAACAUGCUUGCAUUUAUAUAAAAGGGGGUUUAUAU